GUGGGGAAUUUUGGACAAUGGGCGCAAGCCUGAUCCAGCAAUGCCGCGUGCAGGAAGAAGGCCUUCGGGUUGUAAACUGCUUUUGUACGGAACGAAACGGUCCGGGUUAAUACCCUGGGCUAAUGACGGUACCGUAAGAAUAAGCACCGGCUAACUACGUGCCAGCAGCCGCGGUAAUACGUAGGGUGCAAGCGUUAAUCGGAAUUACUGGGCGUAAAGCGUGCGCAGGCGGUUUUGUAAGACAGGCGUGAAAUCCCCGGGCUCAACCUGGGAAUUGCGCUUGUGACUGCAAGGCUGGAGUGCGGCAGAGGGGGAUGGAAUUCCGCGUGUAGCAGUGAAAUGCGUAGAUAUGCGGAGGAACACCGAUGGCGAAGGCAAUCCCCUGGACCUGUACUGACGCUCAUGCACGAAAGCGUGGGGAGCAAACAGGAUUAGAUACCCGGGUAGUCC
Molecule: ribosomal RNA, 450 nt
Filed under: uncultured bacterium
Lineage: Bacteria
Description: bacterial SSU rRNA
Rfam family: Bacterial small subunit ribosomal RNA
Source: RNAcentral